Molecule: ribosomal RNA, 438 nt
Filed under: uncultured bacterium
Lineage: Bacteria
Description: partial 16S ribosomal RNA
Rfam family: Bacterial small subunit ribosomal RNA
Source: RNAcentral
CUACGGGAGGCUCCAGUGAGGAAUAUUGCACAAUGGGGGGAACCCUGAUGCAGCAACGCCGCGUGGAGGAUGACGCAUUUCGGUGUGUAAACUCCUUUUAUAUGUCAAGAAAAUGACGGUAGCAUAUGAAUAAGCACCGGCUAACUCCGUGCCAGCAGCCGCGGUAAUACGGAGGGUGCAAGCGUUACCCGGAAUCACUGGGCGUAAAGAACGCGUAGGCGGGUUGGAAAGUCAGGUGUGAAAUCCUACAGCUUAACUGUAGAACUGCACUUGAAACUUCUAAUCUAGAGUAUGGGAGGGGGAGAUGGAAUUAGUGGUGUAGGGGUAAAAUCCGUAGAUAUCACUAGGAAUACCUAAAGCGAAGGCGAUCUCCUGGAACAUUACUGACGCUAAGGCGUGAAAGCGUGGGGAGCAAACAGGAUUAGAUACCCCGUAGUC